UGGGGAAUUUUGGACAAUGGGCGCAAGCCUGAUCCAGCCAUGCCGCGUGAGUGACGAAGGUCUUCGGAUUGUAAAGCUCUUUUGGCGGGGACGAUAAUGACGGUACCCGCAGAAUAAGCCCCGGCUAACUUCGUGCCAGCAGCCGCGGUAAUACGAAGGGGGCUAGCGUUGUUCGGAAUUACUGGGCGUAAAGCGCACGUAGGCGGACUGAUAAGUCAGGGGUGAAAUCCCGGGGCUCAACCUCGGAACUGCCUUUGAUACUGUUAGUCUCGAGUCCGGAAGAGGUGAGUGGAAUUCCUAGUGUAGAGGUGAAAUUCGUAGAUAUUAGGAAGAACACCGGUGGCGAAGGCGGCCCACUGGUCCGGUACUGACGCUGAGGUGCGAAAGCGUGGGGAGCAAACAGGAUUAGAUACCCACGUAGUCCCUGAGCGGGCUGGCAAGGCGCAU
This 447-nucleotide ribosomal RNA is filed under the name uncultured bacterium. RNAcentral describes it as "bacterial SSU rRNA". It matches the Rfam family "Bacterial small subunit ribosomal RNA", at positions 355 to 825 of the family's 1533-position model. The record is from RNAcentral.